GAAACUGUAGAUCACGAAUAAAGAAACGUGACAGAAGAAUAUACAAAGAUGCAUAUGCACGCAUUUCCUGGUGCAAAGAAUGAGAAGUUUGGAAAAAGCUAAAUGAAACAAAGGUUAAAGGUAGGUCGAGUAUAGCUGGCUGCUGAAUGCUGAAUGACAUAUCUGGAUUUUUAUGUUAGUAGAAAGGAAGGUGAAGAAGAUACAAAGAAAAAAUCACAAAUAGAAUACUAUGAAGACAGAACAUGUCGAAGAAACUGACAAAAGAAACACAACCAGUCAGCUAAACUUUCCACUUUUGUUGUUUUGUUGACUAAUGUUGCUUUUCAUAUGCCUCCAAUAAUGUUCAUCAUCAUCAUCAUCAUCAAAAUAUCUGAUUCGUCACUCUCCCUCUAUGCUAUGAUCCAUAUCUAGGUUUAUGAGCACACAACAAGAACUUUUCAUCAUGCAUGGGUGAAAAUAUACAUACACAUGUACAUAUAUGUAUGCAUAUAUGGGUUGAGAGAUUCAGUAUAUAACAACACAAUGAGAAUCCAAUCAUGCAUAUAUAACAAGUAUACGUAAGAAUCUGAUUGUGAAGCCGACAUGGUUCAAGGAAAUGUGGAAAAAACCAAAAACAUUGAAAAGAGACAGAAUAUGAUGAACAUUAUACACAUUAAUGUGAGCCCACCUCUUCAACCUUCUUAAU
RNAcentral lists this long non-coding RNA (685 nucleotides) under Vigna radiata. RNAcentral describes it as "long non-coding RNA (VRAD_LNC005782)". The record is from RNAcentral. Lineage: Eukaryota; Viridiplantae; Streptophyta; Magnoliopsida; Fabales; Fabaceae.